GUGUGGCAGGCAUUAAAACCCAGUGGAGGGGUGCCUGGGUGGCUCAGUCAGUUAAGCGUCCGAAUUCAGCUCAGGUUAUGAUCUUGUGGUUCACAAAUUCAAGCUCUGGGUUGGGCUCUGUACUGACAGCUCAGAGCCUGGAGUUGCUUUAGAUUCUGUGUCUCUGGCUCUCUCUGCCCCUCUGCCUCUCAUGCUCUGUCUCUCUGUCUGUCUGUCUCUCUCUCUCUCAAAGGUAAAUAAAUAAACAUUAGGGGAAAAAAAACCAGUGGAAAGACAAAUGACAAACAAAGGGAAAUAUUCGCAGCCCCUAUGGCAGAACAAAGACAAAUCUUCCUAAAAUAUAAAUAGCUCCUAGAAUUGUAUAAGGAAAAACACAAAAGCCUAGUAUAAAAAUGGACAAAGAAUAUACAGAGGCAGCUCACAGAAAAUGAAAUGCUAGCAAAACGGGAGUCUUAGCUCAGUUUCAACUUGCAAUAAGAAAAAUGCAAAUUAUGAGGACACUGAGAAACAAUUUUGUUUCUACCAGAUUAGAGAUAUGUAAAAGUUUUACCACAUACCGUGUUGAUGUGGGGAGAUACGCACUCUCUUAUAUUGCUGGUGGCAGUAUAAAUUCCCCCGAUAUGGAGGGAGCUUAAUAUAUAUAAUGAAUUACUGAUGUAUAUGCUUUUUUUAAAUUUUGCUUUUAAGAUUUAUUCAUUUUUCAGAGACAGACAAAGCAUGAAUGGGGAAGGGGUAGAGAGAGAGGGAGACACAGAAUCCAAAGCAGGCUCCAGGGUCUGAGCCAUCAGCACAGAGCCCGAAGCGGGGCUCGAAAUCACGGACCUCCAGAUCAUGACCUGAGCUGAAGUCGGAUGCUUAACCAACUGAGCCACCCAGACGCCCCUGAUGUAUAUACUUUUUAACUUAAUAUCCCACUUUUAGAAACGUAUCUUCUAGAAAUAUCUACAUUAUAUGAAACGCCAUGUGUGGUGUCAUUCAUUGUAGCAUUGGUUAUAAUAGUUGAAGAUUGGGAACAACUGUCAGGAAAGAACAGAUAAGUCAACGUCAAGACUUCACUACAUAGUGAGAUCCUAUGCCGCUAUAAAAAAAAUCAUACAGAAGCUCUCUGUGCACCAAUAGAAAAAUAUCUCCAAGGUAUCUAUUUUAAUUACUUUAAAAAAUAAACUAUUUUUUAAAGUUUAUUUUAUUAUUUAUCUUUGAGGGGGAGGGGCAUAGAGAGAGGGAGACAGAGGAUCUGGGCUCUGCGUUGACAGCAGCGAGCUUGAUGUGGGGCUCGAUUCACGAACAGUGAGAUCAUGACUUGAGCCGAAGUCGGACACUUAACUGACUGAGCCCCUCAGGCGCCCCACCUAUUUAUUUGAGAAUAGUUUUACAUUUACAGAGAAAUUGUGAAGAUAGUACAGACUAUUUCUGUAUCCCCCACACCCAAUUCCCCCUAUAAUUAGCAUCUGACCUUAGGAUAGUACGUUCGGUACAAUUAAGGAACUGAUAUUGAUACAUUAGUAUUAACUGAAACCCAUACUUUAUUCAGAUUUCCCUAGCUUUUACCCAGUGUCCCUUUUCUGUGCCAGGGUCCCAUCCAGGAGACCACAUGACACUUAGUUGUCUUUUUCUCCUUAGGUUCCUCCUCUGUGUCUCAGACUUUCCUUGUUUUGGUGACCUUGACAGUUUUGAGGAAUCCCGGGCAGGUGUUUUGCAAAAUGUCCCUCAGAUUUGGCGGCCGCGGCAGACCCCGAAGAAGACUGUGGAUAGGCGCGGUAGCUGCGAACCCCUUUUUGAGUUCACUGUCUUUCUCACCGUUUCCCAGGGCUGUGGAUACUUUUAUAGAACCUUCCUGUAAGCGAGUUUCAUCUUCAGAGAAAUUCAUGGAAAGGAGUCUGCCAAGUACCAUCGGACUCACGCAUUGCGAGAUCACGACCUGAGCCGAAAUCAAGAGUCACAUGCUCAACCGUCUGAGCCACACCGGAGCCCGUAGAAUACAGAUUUCUGGUAACUUUCAGAUCAUACAACUGGACUGGUGAGAACAAAGCCUGCUCUUGAAUCUCCUUGGAAGGGACUAUAGCAGGCCCUCCUCACUAGUCAGAUGGCAGCCAAACCACAGGGCCUUAAACCUUGGAUGUGCACCUUGGAGCUGGAGAAGGCUCCCCCCUGGCAUCUGGUCCUGUGCAAGUGCUGGAGACAUCCAAGAGGCCAGAUCGUGAGACCUCACACUUUAACUGAUACGAAACCCUUUCUUUUUUCUUUUUUUCACAAUGGCCCUGGCCUGGAAAGAUGACCCCCCUCAUUGGUGUGAAGGGGGAUAACCUUUGCCUUUCGGCCUGCUUGAUUCGUCAUCCCAAACUCCUAUCUGUCCACAUUCACAGCGCCACCUUAGUGGAAGUGGUUUGUGACCGGAUGGGGUUUGUCCCUUGUCUUUGGUGGUCAUCACUCUCCUUGGGUCUACAAAUGUCUAGAGAGCUGGUGCAAGGUAUGAUUUGAAGUGGGGUUCGGGAACUAACGGUCAAGAAAGAAUUCUUGAGAUGGUUUUGAUGCAAAAAAAAAAAAAAAAAAAUGUGGUUUUUAUUAAAGCCCAGAGACAGGAUCUGUGGGCAGAAAGAGCUGCACCAGGAUUGUGAGGAGUGACUCACAAUACAUUUUAAGUGGGGUUAAGUGGGGUUAAGUGGGGAGGGGCGGAAGAAACAAAGGAAGUUUCCAGAAGGAUUUUCUUUUUUCUUUUCUUUUCUAUUUUUUUUUUUAAAUUAAAUCUGCUCUUGCUUUAUUUUAUAUAUUUAGAGUAUAACACAAUGCCUGGUAUAUACUGUUGCAUUUUUUUUUCAAUAUAUGAAGUUUAUUGUCAAAUUGGUUUCCAUACAACACCCAGGGCUCAUCCCAAAAGGUGCCCUCCUCAAUACCCAUCACCCACCCUCCCCUCCCUCCCACCCCCCAUCAACCCUCAGUUUGUUCUCAGUUUUUAACAGUCUCUUAUGCUUUGGCUCUCUUCCACUCUAACCUCUUUUUUUUUUUCCCCUUCCCCUCCCCCAUGGGUUCCUGUUAAGUUUCUCAGGAUCCACAUAAGAGUGAAACCAUAUGGUAUCUGUCUUUCUCUGUAUGGCUUAUUUCACUUAGCAUCACACUCUCCAGUUCCAUCCAUGUUGCUACAAAGGGCCAUAUUUCAUUCUUUCUCAUUGCCACGUAGUACUCCAUUGUGUAUAUAAACCACAAUUUCUUUAUCCAUUCAUCAGUUGAUGGACAUUUAGGCUCUUUCCAUAAUUUGGCAAUUGUUGAGAGUGCUGCUAUAAACAUUGGGGUACAAGUGCCCGUAUGCAUCAGCACUCCUGUAUCCCUUGGGUAAAUUCCUAGCAGUGCUACUGCUGGGUCAUAGGGUAGAUCUAUUUUUAAUUUUUUGAGGAACCUCCACAUCCAGAAGGAUUUUCUUAUGUUAAAGAAGCCUCACAGGAUCCUGGAGGCCUAGCUAUUGUCGGCUAAGUCCGUUUUUCCCUCUAGCAAGGCAUUAGCGUUAAGACAGUGGUGGGGGGCGCCUGGUUGGCUCAGUGGGUGGAGAGGUGACAUUCCACUCGCCAUCUCGGGGUUGUGAGUUCAAACACCACAUUGGAUGUAGAGAUUACUUCAAAAUAAAAUCUUUUUAAAAAAUAUAACAAGAUAUUCCUGGAGGAAUGUCACACUCUGCCGGCCUCAAGUAUUUGUCAAUGGGCUGCAGGAUAUAAGGAAAUUGGAUUUUAUCUUCAUUUCCUUUGGUCUUUGUUCUCCCCAUCAGUGCCCAGCCGGGCAAUGCUUCUUAGGUUAUCUCACUGUGUCCCCAACUUGUCACAAGUGAAAUCAGACAUCUCACUGGUUGACUCCCCUGGAUUUACAUCAUUGAGUUAGUUAGAAAAGGCACCCUACCAGGGGUGCUUGGGUGGCUCAGUCAGUUGAGCGUCCAACUCUUUUUUUUUUUAAUGUUUUUAUUUAUGUAUUUAUGUAUUUUUUCUUUUUUUUAAUUCUAUUUUUUUCAAGUUUAUUUAUUUAUCUUGAGAGCAAGACCAUGGGAGAGGGGCAGAGAGAGGGAGAGAGAGAGAACUCCAAGUAGGCUCUGCACUGUCAGUGCAGAGCCUGAUGCAGGGCUCAAACUCACAAACUGCGAGAUCAUGACCUGAAUCGAAGUUGGACGCUCAACUGACUGAGCCACCCAGGUGCCCCUAUUUUUAUUUAUUUUUUGAGACAGAGAUAGAGAAGAGCAUGUGCAGGGGAAGGGCAGAGAGAGAGGGAGACACAGAAUCUGAAGCAGGCUCCAGGUUCCGAGCUGUCAGCCCAGAGCCCGACGCAGGGCUCGAACUUGUGAACCGCGAGAUCAUGACCUGGGCCGAAGUCAGACACCCAACUGACUGAGUCACAUAGGCAUCCUGUGCAUCUGACUCUUGAUUUCAGCUCAGAUCAUGAUCCCUGGAUCAUGGGAUGGAGCCCUGCGUCAGGUUCUGUGCUGAGUGCUGAGCGUAGACCCUGCUUGAGAUCCUCUCUCUCUCUUUCUCUCUCUUCCUCUGCCCCUUUCCCCCGCUCACUUUCUCUCUAAAACAAAAAAUUUAAAAGAAAGAAAGAAAGAAGGAAAGAAAGAGAAGGAAAGAAAGAAAGAAGGAGAGAGAAGGAAAGAAAGAAAAGAAAGAGACAAAGAAAGAAAGAAAGAAAAAGGAAGGAAAGGAAGAAAGAAAAAAAAGAAAGGAAGAAAGAAAAGACCUAUCAGGAGGGAUUCACAACUCAGGGUUUGCUUCCUUUAGCAGAGCCAUACUUACCUGGUUAGGAGGAAAUAUAGAUAAGAAUAUGAUCAGAAACCUCUCCUUAACUCUUAAAGAUAUUGUAGAAUCUGUCACUCAAACAAUAGCUGCCCAACAAAGAUCCUUAAACUCUGCAGUAAAGCUGUCCUUGAUAACAGGAUAGCCCCUGAUUAUCUUUUAGCUGAGCAAGGAGGUGUCUGUGCUGUGGCCAAUGCCAUCCGCUGUACCUGGAUUAACACUUCUGGGGAGGCUGAAACUCAGUUGCACGAGCUCGCUGCCCUAGCCACAGGGCUUAAAACAGUGACUCCUUCGGCAGAGUCUUACUUUGACUUAUUCGGUUUUGACUGGUUUGGGUCUUGGAGACCGUGGCUCUGAAGUGCGAGGCAGACAUUGGGGAUUAUCCUGUUUGUGCUCAUCACGAUAAUCUCCGUGGUGCCUUGUACUCUCUCAAAAGCUUUAAAUGCGAGUUCACAGCUAUACUUCACCAAGUGCACCAUCUCCCGAAGACUGGACCGUCAGAAAAAGAGCAAAGAGGACGAACUGACUUAAAAAUGGUGAACCUUGGGGCUCCUGGCAGGCGUGGUAUCCAUGCCAUGGAACAUGCAACUGUUGAUGUCAGGGUUGUGAGUUUGAACCCCAUGUUGGGUAUCAAGAUGACUAUUUUUAAAAAUUUUUUUCAAUGUUUAUUUAUUUUUGAGAGACAGAGAGAGAGCGUGAGUAGGGAAGGGGCAGAGAGAGAGACAGACACAGAAUCCAAAGCAGGCUCCAGGCUCUGAGCUGUCAGCACAGAGCCCGACGUGGGGCAUGAACCCCCCAACCGUGAGAUCAUGACCUGGGCUGAAGUUGGAUGUCCAACCGACUGAGCCACCCAGGUGCCCCUGGAGAUGACUUUAAAAAAAAAACCCGUGAACCUGAAGCUGUAACUUGUGACUACCUUAGUCACGGAAUGUCUUAAAUUUCGAUCACGUCUCUCAGUUAAGCUUAGAAUCGAAUCAAAAGGGAGAAAUGUCUAAAAAGAGGGGCACUGGGGUGGCUCAGUAGGUCGAGGAUCCGACUCUUGAUUUCAGCUUGGGUUAUGAUCCCAGGGUCGUGGGAUCGAGCCCCAAGCUGGGCUCCACGCUCAGCAUGGAACCUGCUUAAGAUUCUGUCAGUCAAUCUCUCUCUCUCUCUCUCUUUCUCUCUCUCUCUCUCCCUCUGCCCUUCUCCUCUGCUUGUGCACUCUUUCCCUUUCUUAAAAAAAAAAAAAAAAGAAAGAAAAGAGAAAAAAAAGAAAUUGCUAAAAAGAAAAGAAAAUCCCCAGGCCCCACAUGGAUCAUGGAGUCACUUAUGUCAAGGCCCCAUAUCAGGAAACCAAGACUUCAUACCUAACCUAACUGUAGUUUUAACCCUCCUAGGGAUGUGACCCUCAACCAGUCAACCUGGGAUUACCUGCAGCACUAGAACAUUUACGGAUAGACUCCUUCUGUUCCCCCUUAGGGAGGUGACCUUACCUAAAACAAUACACUCGUUGCUAAUAAUUUCCUUCCGCUACCCCACCCCCUGCCCUUACAAACCUGUUUCUACAGCUGGACGGAGCUUUUUUCUGUUCGCUAAGUGGGAUGCUGCCCGAUUCAUGAAUUGUUCAGUCAAGCCAAUUUGAUCUUUUCAGUUACUCAGAUAAAUUUUUAUUUCACAUCCCUAACCCACAGAUGAGAAAAAGGGGACUUCCGGAGAAGUAAAGUAACUUGCCCCGAAGCCACCCAGACAGAAGUUGGCGGCAUCUCGCGCCAGGGCAAGGAACAACAGGUGGGGUCAGCGUCUUGCCGGGCUUCCCAGAACCCAGUGGGACUGCCCAGGGCCUCUCAAAAGCUCAAAGGACCUGCUAGUUUUGGGGCUUCCCCAAACGAUCCCUGCCCUGCCCCCCAGGAACCUUAGAGAGCAGCUCUGUGGAAAAAAGGAGGCAGAAAGUGGUGUGGAGGAACUACUGGUCUUUAAGAGGUUCUUCAAGAGAGUGUGACUUUCUCUUAGACAAGACUUGCAGAGGGCAGGAGGAGGAAGAGGGAGGUGGCUGGCGGAAAUGAUUCCUGGGAAGAGAGGGGGCGGCAGAGGAGGGAGAGGGCGGCUUACUUAGUUUAGUCUUUGAGGCCACAAAGGAGACAGGCGGCAGGGCAGAUUGGAAAUCCGGCCCCCCACUAAGCAUAAGAGAGGGGUGGGUGGGUGUCGUGCAAAUGGAAGGAAGCCACCACGGACCACUGCUGUAGGAGGGAACUUGAAAUCAGCCACCAGCCGGAAAGACAGGACGAAAGGGCACACAGACACAAGAAGGAUCUGGACGCAUGUAAGGUGGACAGGUCCCUAAGCUAAAGGGAUUUGGAAGCUGCCUCUGUCCAAGAGGUUAAAGAGCUCACAUGCACAGGCCCGGGUGUCCAGCCCAGAGAGACCAGAGGGGAAGCCAGGGAAAGAUCUGGAAGGAUGGGCGAUGUGCAGCUGAGGGGCUGCUGCAGAUGGUCUGGACUUCUCGCUGCAGCAAGAGGCUGGAGACUGGGGGAGAGGGCACCUGGGGCAGAGACUCCAAGGUCAAGAACAGGUCAAGGGUCCCUUGAUCCUUCCUGUGAGGGCAGUGGCUCGGCAGUAGCAAGUGUCGAACGACACAAAUGAUUUGAAUCAGAGCACGUUUCACGCAGGAAGGAGCUCAUCUGUUGCCACAAUCUUCAGCCCUCCCCGCCUCGCACCCAGGAGGGUCACUUCAUUUCUAUGACCGGCUGGCUCACGUGGGUGCCAGAUUUUUGGCCUUUGAGACACCUGCAAUGCCACCUUUGGAGACCCCAGGUUGGGGAGGGGACGAGAGAGGAGGCUGGCGUCCCAAGGGCCCCUAACUUUGCCCAAUGCCCUCUCCUCAGAUGCUGCUCCUUGGUACCACGUCUGUACGGGUCCUCGGGGAGGGACUGUUGUGCCUUUAGCGUCUCUGGUACUGCCCAUAAAUGUCAACAGCGCCCUCUAGUUUUUGUAACAGUCACACAUGCCUCCCUGGAAGUAGGGGUGAGAUCACUCUAACUGAGAGCUCCUGGAGCCCCUCUUUGGUGCUGGGGAAGUGACUUCCACCCCUGCCAGAAUUUUCUCGGCAUAGAAGCACGGAGACACAGAAGCCAGUGGCAAUGGCUGUUUAUUAUAACAAUGCCCCCAAGUGAGGGAGAGAAGGGAGGGCCCAAGCCUGGAGAGGUAGGCAGCGGGUAUGUGUGAGCAGGAAAGUGUGGAGAGCCUCCACAGCCACUGGGGAAGUGGCACUUACUCUUCAGUAGAAUAUACUCAGAGAGGGAGAGAGACUGGGGGAAAUCCAGCCACCAGAAGCUGGCUGGGGAAAAAGAGAAACACUUUGGGCUGGGGGGGGGGGGUGGGCAAUGGACGGCCUGGUGCUGGAGUAAGGGGCCCAGGUGCCACUACCUGGAGCCCGUUCCAUUGGCAGGGAAUGCGGAGCCGAGAGCAGUAAGGAGUGCCCUGCCCCUGAGCCCGGAGCCCUGCAGUGGUGGUGGUGGGCGCCGGGCUCUUGGGGCUCCCCUAUCCCCACAUGGUUGUCUGCAGCCACUGUGGGGAGGAGAGAAGCAGAUCCAAGGACGGCAGGGAGGGUGGGGCAGGAUGGCUGGGGGAGCAGAGGGCAAGGGGAGCCGUGAGUACCUGGUUCAGAUUCAAGCGAAUAUAGCCAGUGUUCUUGGGGUCCAUGGAUAGAAAGUAUGCUGUUUGGGAGAGGAGGCAAGGGAAGGGGUUUGAGAGCCGAGUCUGGGGUCUGCAAGACCCAAUCCCAAAGAAGCAGGAGGUCAGAAAGGGCAUCAGAAGCUGUCCCUUGCUGCCUCCAGGCUAACCCUCAGCCCAGGAAGGAAUUAAUGAUAAGAACUCCAAGCCUCGCCAUGAGCCACACACAGAGCGUCGCCAUGUGUGAAACUCAUAUGUUCUGUGGCUCCGUCCUAUGAGGGCAAUACUGUUACUGCCCACAUUUUAUAGAUGAGAACAGAGGACAGAGGCACAGAGAGAUAAAGCGACUUGCCCAAGGCACACAGCCAACAAGUGGUGGGGCUGGGAUUUGAACCCAGAUCGUCUGUGCCCUAAAGAGGGGGAUGGUUUGGGAGCAGGGCUCCUCAUGUGGGCGUGUGGGAGGCGGCCAGUGGUCCCCGACCCACGGUGGGGAGUGGGCAGAUGACUGACUCACUGAACAUGGCCUUGAGCCUCAGGAAGCAGCUGAUGAAGCUGUCAAAAUCCACGAUCAUGUUAUCGUUUGCAUACCUGGCCACCAGCACCUGCAUCACCUUGUUAUUCAGCUUGAUGCCUGGGAGAGAGAGGAGUGCGGAGGGGGAGUCCAGCCCCCUGGCCACCGCGUCCUCCCUCGCUGCCCCCAGACCCUCUCCCCUGACCCCCUGCUAACCUGCUUUCUCAAUUGCCAAGCGCAUCUCAUAGGAGUUCAAGCUGCCUGAGUUGUCCUCGUCACACUCUCGGAAGAUGUCCUGAAGGGAUAGACAGAGGGGGUGUGCAUAGCAUGGUGGUGGAAAUAAUGAAAUACUUCAGUAUAGUUAACCUACAAGGACUACCCAAGACCCCAGCGCUGCCUACCCUGGCCCCCGCCCUGAGCGCCCAAUAUUCCUGUCAUCUAGUGACUGUAGGGGGCCUCUGGCAAGGGGAGGGGGCUAAGACCGGAGUCAGGGGUCUGAAAGACCCACUCCCAACUGGGCCCUCUGCACCAGUCCUUUAAACUGGUGAUGCCUGGACUAUACUGGUUGUUAAUCUGACUAGCUAAUGCACCAACACUCCAACAGAUCCUGUCCUGUGUGUGUGUGUGUGUGUGUGUGUGUGUGUGUGUGUGUCUAGUCAGGGGCUCCAGGUUCUAGCAUCGUCCUUACUAAUCCCCAUCACUCUUGAGGACCUCCCUUUCUCCCCGCCAUAAACUGCCCCUUCAGUGUUUUUUACCGUCCAUUUCUUGAUUUUUUUCCACAGGAUCUGGAACUCCAGAAGCCCUAGCUUGCCAGAGCCAUCUUUCUGGGGAGGGGGUGGUAGUCAAGGAUGCCAGAAGAAGGAGUGAAGAGGGCAUCUUGGGGCCAGGGAAGCAGAGAGGCUCGCUGAGUGGGAGACAUGAGACCCGGGGAUCUUGUGUGGUCACUAUGGUAACAGCCAGAAAAACUGGCAUCUUUUGCUACCUCAGAGCCUAAUCCCCAGCAGGAAGGAGGGCAUGACUGGCCAGAGCGAUGGUCACCUGGGGGCCAGGCAUGGGGGUAGGGGUGAGGGGCAGGAGAGCACUGGACAAGAAGAUACAUCCAUGAGGUUGACCAUACAGCGGCACACAUCCAGGCCGAAGCCCUGGGUCCUGAAGUUUCUGACUGUGAGGGAGGGAAGGGGCAGGAAGAGAGAAGGAGUGAGUGGGGCAUCGCAGGGGAUGCAGGGAGCGGCCCAGGGGGGGUGCAAGCUGCAGGAGGAGGGUUGUGAGUGGCAGGGUGGGGGGGUGGAAGACUCACAUUUGGUGACCACCUUGUUGAGCAGCUUCUGUAGCUCAUACAUGCCUAUCUCCUUGUCCUAGGAAGGGCGACCAUAAAUCCCAGCUCUGGCACGUUCCCCCCAUCCACCUGCUUUGGGUGCCCAGCCCUCGGCCUCGGACCUCUCCUCCUGCCACUAUCCCAAACAAAUGUAUGAAGUCCUGGUCUACGUCAUUCUCACAGAACUUCUCCUGGUGGGGAAGGAGUGGGAAAGGGACCCAGUCAAGAAAGUUCCUUCACAUUCCUCAGAUGCUUCCUCUGGUCCCUGGACCCCACAGCCUCCCCUCACCUCCUGGAGUAGCUCAGCACAGUUGGCUUCAUCCAGUUCCCUGCGCAAAAGUGAAGGAAGACCCGUAGCAGGAAGUCGGCAUCUCUGUGUGGCUCAAAGGUGGAGGGAAUGAUGACAUAUUCCCCCGGAGGCAGCCGGAGAUGACUGCUCACCUCCCGCGAAUUAGUGAAGAUCUCUGAGAAGCCAUGGUCCUGAUACUUUAUGAAGAAGUCCUUCUUCAAGCGAGUAUCCUGGAUGUUCUGAAACUAUAUGUGCCUUGGAGGUGGGUACAGGGCUGGCAUGUGAGUAUAGGCAGAGAGAGGGACCCCAAAAGUGAAGCUUACUUGGGCAAGUCUCCGGGGGAGGCAUUACCACAAACUGACCAGUCCUGGAUACCACCCAGCUGGCAGGUAACCAAAGUAUCCCCUGCCCGACUCCCUACUCCUUGAUCUCCUGCCCUGACUCCCAUCCGGGGCCCCAACGCAGUAGAAUCCUAACCCAGUAGCCCUGAGAGCCCUUGGCUGAAUUCUACCCCUUGCCCAUCCACAUGCAGCCAGAGGUGGGGCAGUGCCUGCCCAGAAUCAAGCCCAUGUCUUCUGUACCUCCUUUGGGACCUAGGAAGAGAAGAGAGAGGAAGGCCAAACUCCCAGGAUGGUGAAAGGACUCAGGCCUGUAGAAGUCAGGCAGUGUGUGUGUGUGUGUGUGUGUGUGUGUGUGUGUGCACGCGUGCACAUGUGUGUGUUACAGCGGGACACUGGUGGCGGUGGGGGGCAUAGGUUCUGACAGCCAAAAGUCCUAACGUUAACAUUAAUAAUCCCUCAGUUUUGGACAACAAAGCAUAGUUUACACAAAGUUUUGCCAGGGGGAGGUUUUUAUCCCUGCAGGUUAAGGAUAGGAAACCGAAUCCCAAGAGGUGAGGUAACGUGCCCAAUUUCACACUGCUAAAAAGUGAAAGAGCUAGGAUGAAAGUCGAGGAGAGCGUUUUCCAGAACACGAGCAUUUUCCAUGGAACACUUGUAUCCUGCAGUAGUUAACAGGUGAUUAUUGAAACUGGCCAUUGAACACAAAUAUGUUUGUAAAAAGGUGAGUUAAACCAAGAUAAGUAGGUUGUAAGGGAUCCUGGGUAGCUCAGUCAGUUGAAUGCCCGGCUCCUGAUUUCGGCUGAGGUCACGAUCUCACGGUUCGUGAGUUCGAGCCCCACAUUGGGCUCUGCGCUGGCAGCACGGGGCUUGCUUGGGAUUCUCUAUCUCCUGUCUCUCUCUUUCUCUCUCUCUGUCCCUCCCCUGCUGUCUCUCUCUGUGUCUCAAAAGUAAAUAAAAUAAACAAAAAAGAUUAAGUGGGUUGUUGCCCCGUAGGGAUGACAAAAACCCAUAGCUGAUGCCCUGUAGAGCCCCAGGUGGGAGGUAGAGUAUAUACCUUUCCUGAAGGACCACAGCUAACCUUGGAAAUAUAUAUAUUUUUUAAAUGUCUUGAGUGUUUCUUUAUUCUUUAGACAGACAGAGAGAGAGAGAGAGAGAGAGAGAGAGAGUGUGAACGGGGAAGGGGCAGAGAGAGAAGGAGACACAGAAUCUGAAGCAGGCUCCAGGCUCUGAGCCGUCAGCACAGAGCCCGAUGCAGGGCUCAAACUCAUGAACUACAAGAUCAUGACCUGAGCUCAAUUCAGACGCUUAACCGACCGAGCCACCAGGCACCCCUAACCUUGGAAAUAUCUUCAGGCAUGUCUGGUGUCUGUUAACCUGGUGGGCUCCCAGCCUAGGAGGAGGGCAAGGCUUGUGUCUCUCUCUUUUUUUUUUUUUAAGAUGAAGUAUCUUAUAAUUUUAAAAAUGUUUUUAUUUUUUUUUGAGACAGAGAGAGACAGAGCAUAAGCAGGAGAGGGACACACAGAAUCCAAGGAGGCUCCAGGCUCUGAGCUGUCAGCACAGAGCCCAAUGCGGGGCUCGAACUCAUGAACUGUGAGAUCAUGACCUGAGCCGAAGUCAGAUGCCCAACCGACUGAGCCACCCAGGCGCCCCUUGUGUCUCUUUUUGUUCACUAUUGGACCAGUGGAGAUUGGACUGGUGGCUGGCAUACAGUAGGUGCUCCGUAACUAUUCGAACAAAUUGUCAUUUAUAGGAUUUCGCAAAGCACAAUUUCAGAAAUGUGGUCAGGGAUAUCUCUUGGCUGCUGGAGUCAACGCUCUGGGUGGUGUGUCUGGGCGGGUGUGUGUGUGUGGGGGGACACCUGGGGACACUGUGAAGUCUCAGAACACCUGGGAAUCAGGACAUAAUCUGCUUCUGAGCCUUGGGUGUGUGAGCUUGGGCAAGUAACCUCACCUCCCUGGCGCUCUGUCUCCUCCCUCUUCUUGGAAGGCGUUACUAUUCAUUAAGGCCUCUGGCAGGGUCUUGAAGGGGGUGAGGCCAGGAGAGGGAGCAAGAGUGGCUGGGGGAGGUGGUGGAGCACCCACCGAGUAGAUGACAAAUCCAAUGGUCUGCAGCUGGGCUCCGAGGGGCCGUGCCCGUCGCCAGUUCUUCUGCAUCAGGGCCACCAGGCAGGUGCAGACAACUUCGUCGUCCUCUGGGUCGUCAUCCCCCUCCGGGAGAGAGAUCCUGAACUGGGGGUUGGUCCAGAAUGUGUCUGUGGAAGAAGCAGGUCAGCAUGGCUCUGCCCUUCCCAGGGUGGACCGGCUUCCUGGCCACACACCUGCCUCCUCGGCGGGGCCUCGUGGGAUCUGCCGGUCCCCUGACCCCUUCGCGGACCCCGAAUCCCCUCACCCACCGGGGUGGUUCCUGCAGCCCCCCGCAGUGCUGCCCCGCCGCCAGCUGCCCUCGCAGAAGGUGGUGUGCCAACAGCCCCUGUCGUCCCAAGAGAGCGUGUCAGGCGUCAGGUUGCAGAUCUCCAGGAGCGUGAAGUUGUCCAGGAAGUCUUGGUAGGACAUCCUGUGGUGGAGGGCACGACGGCUAGAGCCUGUGGCACCGUCACACCCGGAGGCUCCCCCUCAGAGCCUCCCCAUCAAAGGCAAGGGUGGGAGGGCGGCAGAGGAGAUGAAGGGACGGGCGUGGGGGCAGAAGGAAGCCCACCCAAGCUGCACUGACCAGAACUCCCCAUCCUCCCUCUUCUGAAGCAGCUGUUUCUGGGUUUCUGGGGCCACUUUGUCCCACUCGCUGGCACUGGAUCAGAGACAGGAGGUGGAAAGAGAAGGGCAGGGCUCAGAAGGUAUUUUGUUCCUCCCCAAGGGAUUCCCUCCCCACUGAACUCCGGCCGCUGGGGGUCCUGAGUUAGAGGGAAAGACACUAGUGGGGAGGGGCUGGUCCUGGGACGCCAGCGGGUCCAUCUGUGACACUGCCUGGCUGGUGGGCCAGCCGUGCGCUCUGCUCCUCACCUGACAGUGCUGCUCAGGGGCACCUACUUGUCACUCCAGGCUCCAUUCCACUCGAUCCGGCCCCAGGGAUUCCGGACCCGAAUCAGGGUUUCCGUCCUGCCUCUGUAGAAGACCUGGCGGCGGAAAGGGUGUGGUGGCAGGGGUGUGGCUGAAGGUCCUGGGGCAGGAGGGACUGUCCUCCUUGUUCUGUGUCUCCAGGUAGGGUGCCCUUGGCAGACUCACAUCAUGGAGGCCGGUCACGGAGUAGGCGUGCCCUUUCACUAGCAUCCUCUGGGUCAUGGCCUCCAACUCACUGUCGCUGGUGACCUACAGAACAGAGGAAAGAAAGGAAUUCAGGAUCCGGUCAGAUGCACCAGGGCACCCGAAGAGAUGUGAGCACUCUUGGGGUCCAGGGUUUUUUUUUUUAAGUUUAUUUAUUUUGAGAGAGAGAGAGAGAGACAGAGAGAGAGGCAGGCAGAGGGAAGGAGAGAGAGAAUCCCAAGCAGACUCCUUGCUGUCAGUGCAAAGCCGGACUCAAAACUCCAUCCCAUGAACCGUGAGAUCACGACCUGAGCCAAAAUCCAGAGACAGACGCUUAACCGACUGAGCCACCUAGGUGCCCCCUGGAUGGCGCAGUCGGUUAAGCGUCCAACUUCGGCUCAGGUCAUGAUCUUGCGGUUCCUGAGUGCGAGCCCCGCGUCGGGCUCUGUGCUGACAGCUCAGAGCCUGGAGCCUGCUUCCGAUUCUGUGUCUCUCUCUCUCUGCCCCUCCCUUGCUUGCACUCUGUUUCUGUCUCUCAAAUAUAAAUAAACAUUUAAAAAAUCUGUCAUUUCAAGCCUGCCAUGUGAAUGGAUUCGUACAGUAUGGAACUCUCUUGGUUUUCCCCACGCAGCAUAAUUCCCUUGGGAUUCACCCAAGUAGUUGCAUGUAUUGGUAGUUCAUUUCCUCUUAUCGCCGAGUUAUAUCCCAUGGCCUCUGGGCACCGCAGUUUAACUAUUCACUCCGUGAAGGACGUCUAGACUGUUCCCAGUUUCUGGCUACUAUGAACAAAGCCGCUAUGAACAUUUGUGUGCCGGCUUUCAUGUGCUUGUAAGUCUUCGUUUCUCGGGGUUACAUGCCCAGGGUGCAAAGGCAGGGUCGUACGGUUCCACCCUGGGCUCAUUUAUUUCUUUGAAUAAAUAUUUGCUGGGUGUCUCUUGCAUAUGCCAGGCAGCAUCCUAAGUCCCAGGAUCCGGCAGUGAAUGAGACAGGUCACUGCCCCCAUGGAAUACGAAACUGUCGGGAGAAGAUAGGCUGGGAACAACUAUAUUGAUAAGUAAGACCAUUUCAGAUCACAAUACAUGCUAGGGGGAGAAUAAAAACAAAGUAGAAAGCAAAGGGAGGUAGGAGCAGCUGGUUUAGAGUGGGAGGUAGGGAAGAGAGGCCUGAGGAAGGGGCAUUUGAACUGAAAUGUGAAUGAGAAGGGGCUAGUCGCGCAGCUACCUGGGGGAAAGAACCAUCUGGGUGAAAGCAACCGCAGGUACAAAGGCCCUGAGGCAGGACCCAGUAUGGCUUACUUCGAUGCAGCAGCCCAUGAGGGAGGACCGCUCUAUGGCCUUCCUAAGAAUCCUCAGCAGGUUCCGAGGGGGCUUCUGGAGUUGGAGGCUAUAGGUCACGCCCCCUGUGAAGUCUUCAAAGCCCUCUACUGUGUUGCCCCCCGACAGAGCUUCAUAGGACCCAUUCAGCCUGUGGGCACAGAGAGGGCACUUUUAUGCUCUGGGUUAGAGAUGCCAGCUUGGACACGAGUGGGUGUGGUGAGGGCAGGAAGGGAUGCCCUGACCUCCAUCUGCCUUUUCCCCUGAGUCAGCUGCCCCCAUAGCUGCCAGUUGUCGGGCAGGCUUGGAGGCAAGCCCAGGCUUGGGGCACUCACUUGGCAUAUGCCUUCUCCAGCAGGGCACUCCAGAACUCAGCGCGCUCAGCCGAGUGCACGAACACCAGCUUGCCAUUCUUUGUGGGCAGCCGGUCAUCCACCACCACGUCCAUCCAUUGUCCAAACUGCCAAAUCUG
This is a long non-coding RNA of Acinonyx jubatus (cheetah), 15888 nucleotides long. RefSeq lists it as uncharacterized. The record is from RefSeq and is a predicted model, not a curated record. NCBI's taxonomy places the organism in Eukaryota, Metazoa, Chordata, Mammalia, Carnivora, Felidae. The transcript has 4 exons.